AGGCCAAUGAGGUCUUCGACGAGUUCAAGUACGAGGCGCUUCGUCGGAAGGCUAAAAAGGAGGGACACUACAAGGAGCUUGGCUUCAGUGUGGUAAAACUCUUUCCCACCCACAAUCGUUUUAUAUUCCGUAACAGGAUGGGAAGAAAGCUCCGCAAGAUUGUGCGGGCCGUUGGGGUCCUUGUGGCUGAAAUGAAGGACUUUGACUUCAAGCAUCAGCAACCACUGCAGGUGUACAGCCAGUGGCGAUAGAAGGAUCAUGAUAUCUUUGAUCCGGAGAAAAUCACCAGCAGAUCGAGAGCAAAAGAUAGGAAGAAGCUUGUUGAUAUACUGGUUGGUCAAGCUAACAAUGCAGAUCUCACAGUUGUUCCCAUCGUUGGAAUGGGUGGUCUGGGAAAGACCACGUUAGCUCAACUUGUCUACAAUGACACUGAAAUUCAGAAGCAUUUCAAUUUGCUGCUAUGGGUGUGUGUCUCUAACAACUUUGAUGUGGAUUCUCUGGCUAAAAUUAUAGUUGAAGCAGCUCUCGAGAAAAAUGGCACAGAAGCAGCUACUUCCAUGAGGAUGAAGACACCGCUGGAUGGCCUUCAGAAUGUAUUGAGCGGGCAAAGGUACCUCAACUGAGGACCCAGGCAAGAUUGGAUAACGUUGGAUCGGAUAACGUUGUUGAUGAACCUAGCAGUCGGGAUGAUGCAAAAGUGCUCGAGGAACUUAAACCUCAUGAUGGGCUGCAUGCUAUAAGGAUACACACCUAUGGAGGCACCACCUUUCCAACAUGGACACCUAUGUUGCAAAACAUUGUUGCGAUCCAUAUUUCUCAUUGUAACAAACUGCAAUGGUUCUAUAGCGGUGACAUUAACACAUCCUUUGCAUUUCCAAAUCUGAAGGAGCUUACGUUGCAAGAGCUUGUCUGCUUUGAGAGAUGGUGGGAAAUAGAUAAUGGAACGCAAGGAGAAGUGGUGAUGUUUCCUCGGCUUGAGAAGUUGCGCAUUAGUCAGUGUGAAAAGUUGACAGCAUUGCCAGGGCAACCGACCUUCCCAAACCUCCAGAUCACUCGUAUUGAGGGAUUUCCAGAGUUGACAACUAGAGUUGAAUCACCAAAGCUCAGUGUAUUAAAGAUGGAAGGACGUGAUGUACAGUUGUUUCAGUGGGUAGCCAGGCAUAUGACUUCAUUGACCAAUGUUGAACUGCAUAGCCUUGUGGACAGUACAGAAACAACCUCGGCGGCGGCUGAGCAUGGUUUGAGGGAAGUUCUGGAUUGCAAGGAAAAAAGGAAUGAUCAUGAUUUUCCUCUGACAGUUUUGGUGCUACAAAACUUUAAGCCAGGUAUAACAGAGUUGUGUUCAUGUUUUGUACACCUGCAAGAUUUGUCAGUUUGGAGGUGCCAUGCACUCCUCCACUGGCCAGAAAAGGAGUUUGAAGGAUUGGUAUCCUUGAGGAAGCUUGUGAUUCACCAAUGUGAGAAUCUGACUGGAUAUGCACAAGCUUCUACCGAGCCAUCAACAUCGUCAGAAAAGAGUCAGCUCCUUCCACGUCUAGAGUUACUAGUGUUAAGGAAAUGUGAAAGUUUGGUUGAGGUCUUCAAUGUCCCUGCAUCUCUCAGGGUAAUGGAAAUUCUUUAUUGCAAGAAGCUUGAGUCUAUAUCUGGCAGGAGGCUGCUGCAGGGACAGUCAGCAUCGUCGAUUCAUCAAGGGCCAUCUAGUAUAGCAGAGGUGUCAUCAUCAUCCGGAGAUUGGGCGGAGAAUUUGGAAAAACUGAAAUUAGUCGAGUGUCAUGGCUUAACAGGGGCCCUCCAUCUUCCCUCGCCGCUCAAGGCUCUAGACAUUGAUAGUUGCAGUGGGUUGACAUCUCUUGAAUCUAGCUCAGGAGAGCUUCCAUUGUUGGAGUGUCCCUACCUUUGGAGUUGCAAUAACCUGUUAUCCCUACCGGAAUGGCCACAAGCAUACUCAUAUCUCCAAUGUCUCUACAUUAUGAACUGCACUGUUAUAAAGACGCUCCCUAGAAGCCUGCAGCAACGGCUGGGCAACAUCCAGGAGGAACAUGUAGAUGCUCAUUAUUACGGAAGUAAGCAUGCAGCAAUUUCUUUGUUACUCCUUACUAGUCAGCUAAUUGUGCUAGUUGGAUCACUAUAAUAGCAUCACUAGUAGUAUGAGAGAAAAAUGAAGCAAAGUAAAUGUUCUUCAAACCUAAAUUCGUCAUUUCUUAAUUUAUUGAUGUUCCUUGAGUGUAAUUUUUUGCAUUAUCAACCUGUGCAGAUAAGCCAAGGCCUAUCCCUAUCCUGCUCAAACCAAAGACAUGGAAAUGCGCCAUCCGUAGAGAUUAGAGAGCUAUAAACAGAAUCUCAGGGCGAGAAUACCAAUAUCGAAGUUAUUCCAGAGGUUUGUGAUGUAGAAAUAUGCCGACGCUGCCGGAACCUUUGAUUGGUCUUCUUAUUUUUUGCAAAAAGAAUUAAGCUCGUGGAAUUGUUUGCAGAAUUCUUCCAGGACACAGAGACCGGAAAGCGAGAUCACUUGGGGUGGAGCUAUUCUCCUGCGAGACGCACACGAGAAGUUGUUGCCAUGCUGAAUUGCGAGAUCCGUAAUAAGCGCUUCUAUUGGCUAUCAACAUUCUGCUCCCAGAAAAAGAUCUUGUUUGAAUAAUAAGUACUUGUAGCCACCUCCUUUUACCUAAGGUCAUGUCAUUGUAUUUCUUUUCCAACAAGCAUGGCGGUAUUCUUGCCCUGGGCAGUGUCAGUUUUUUGUCGAAAUUCUGUUGCAGAGUUUCCCAGUUUUAUCUAUGGAGCUGUAUAAACAGAGUACCACUGCCAUUUAGAGUUAGUGUUCUGUCUGCUGCAUAUAUCGGCAAUGUUAUUUAUGAAGGAUUUAUGAAGCUGUUGAUUUCCCCUUAAUACUCUGCAUCAA
This 2899-nucleotide long non-coding RNA is filed under the name Triticum aestivum (bread wheat). RNAcentral describes it as "long non-coding RNA (TAES_LNC017086)". The record is from RNAcentral. Lineage: Eukaryota; Viridiplantae; Streptophyta; Magnoliopsida; Poales; Poaceae.